This 460-nucleotide ribosomal RNA is filed under the name uncultured bacterium. RNAcentral describes it as "partial 16S ribosomal RNA". It matches the Rfam family "Bacterial small subunit ribosomal RNA", at positions 338 to 795 of the family's 1533-position model. The record is from RNAcentral.
CCUACGGGAGGCUGCAGUGAGGAAUAUUGGUCAAUGGGCGGAAGCCUGAACCAGCCAAGUCGCGUGAGGGAAUAAGGCCCUACGGGUCGUAAACCUCUUUUGCCGGGGAGCAAGGGCCGGGACGCGUCCCGGCCCGGAGAGUACCCGGAGAAAAAGCAUGGGCUAACUCCGUGCCAGCAGCCGGGGUAAUACGCAGGAUGCAAGCGUUAUCCGGAUUUAUUGGGUUAAAAGGGUGCGUAGGCGGUUGUUUAGGUCAGCGGUAAAAUUUCGGGGCUCAACCCCGUCCGGCCGUUGAAACUGGGGGCCUUGAGUGGGCGAGAAGUAGGCGGAAUGCGUGGUGUAGCGGUGAAAUGCAUAGAUAUCACGCAGAACCCCGAUUGCGAAGGCAGCCUGCCGCAGCGUUACUGACGCUGAGGCUCGAAAGCGCGGGUAUCGAACAGGAUUAGAUACCCCUGUAGUC